CAAUAGCGUAUAUUUAAGUUGUUGCAGUUAAAAAGCUCGUAGUUGGAUUUCGGGUGGGACGCAGCGGUCUCGCAUUGCGUUUGUACUGCUGCAGCCCUCCUUCUUGCCGGGGGCGGCCUCUCGGACUUCACUGUCUGGGGGUCAGAAUCGGCGAUGUUACUUUGAGUAAAUUAGAGUGUCCAAAGCAAGCUUACGCUCUGAAUAUAAUAGCAUGGGAUAACACGACAGGACUCUGGCCUAUCGUGUUGGUCUAUAGGACCAGAGUAAUGAUUAAGAGGGACAGUCGGGGGCAUUCGUAUUCCGUUGUCAGAGGUGAAAUUCUUGGAUUUACGGAAGACGAACAUCUGCGAAAGCGUUUGCCAAGGAUGUUUNCAUUG
RNAcentral lists this ribosomal RNA (377 nucleotides) under uncultured eukaryote. RNAcentral's name for it is "partial 18S ribosomal RNA". It matches the Rfam family "Eukaryotic small subunit ribosomal RNA", at positions 592 to 975 of the family's 1831-position model. The record is from RNAcentral.